RNAcentral lists this long non-coding RNA (5485 nucleotides) under Sus scrofa (pig). RNAcentral describes it as "lncRNA (ENSSSCG00060029781.1)". The record is from RNAcentral. Lineage: Eukaryota; Metazoa; Chordata; Mammalia; Artiodactyla; Suidae.
CAUAUGGAGGUACCCAGGCAACGGGUCUAAUUGGAGCUGUAGCUGCUGGCCUACACCACAGCCACAGCAGCACAGGAUCCAAGCCGUGUCUGCAGCCUACACUACACCUCACGGCAACACGGCAACACUGGGUCCCCAACCCACUGAGCAAGGCCAGGGACCGAAUCCACAACCUCAUAGUUCCUAGUUGGAUUCAUUAACCACUGAGCAACGAUGGGAACUCCAUUUCUAUUUUUUGUUAAGUCACUCAGUUUUUAGUAUUUUGUUAUAGUGGCCUGAAAAGACCCAGACAAUAAAAAAUACAAAUUUUAUAAAUAGAGUAUAAGCCAGCUAAAUCAUCUCUCUUUUGGAGAUAAAUUGCCAUUUUGUGUAUCAAAAACAGUUAAAGAAUAAACAUGUCAUGAGUUUCAACUGAAUAAGAAGGCAGACUUCAAAUUUUAUUUAAAUUAUUUAUCAAAUAACAAGAAUUAUUUUGCUUGUAAAUGAAGAGUGAAUAAUAAAAUAUUUACAUAAAAAUGUGAUCUGAAUACUUUUAUUUAAAGCAGAGUGUUCAAAUCUGAACAUCCAAAUCAAUUAAUGAGAAUAUGGAUUUCUCUGGCCCUCUUCCUCUCCAAGGAAACAAACUAAGAUCUAGAUUUUAUUUCAGGACAAUAUCAAAAGCAAAGUCCCAAGUACAGUCAAGCGUAAGGAAACAUUCACCACUAUGUAUUUAAAUCACUGGACAAUGAGCAUUAGUGUUCAGAAUUAUGAUUCUGUGUCAUGCCCAAUUUUGUAAUGAGAUGAUUUAAUUACCACUGCUACACCCUUCUUCCUAAGGAAAAAAAAGAAGUCUUAAAUGCAUAUUAAAAUAUACUCAAGGAGGGUCAAAACAGCAGGUUUUCCUGCUUAACCUGGAGUUAAUUGAAUUAAUGAGAACAACCCAGUCACUAUCUUUUUUAACCACCUGGGCUCUCUUGUUUGAUUUGUAUUAGCUUAAAAUACCUUUAAUCUUCACACUAUAUCCUUACCAACUGGAAGUAAUGAUCACUCACCCCUGACUGAAGUAGAAUUAACAACAUAAAAGAAAAAAAAACUGUAAAUAAACAAAUAUAAACAUAGUAUAUCAACUCAGCAGAGCAAUUCCCAGGCAUGAGUUUAUCGUCAUAAGGGUUACAUACAGGAAAUUUAAGUAGGGAUUUCUCUGGACAGGAUAUUUGUGGGAAGCAAAACUUGAAAGCUUCCAAAGCCAGUUUGAUUGACUCCCAGCUUUAUCCCACUGUGUGUCUACAGGAGCUCAACUCCACAGACCUAUUGAUUUAGGUAAUCUCUGCAUGGAUGGAAAUCCUCCUUUCAGCAGCUUCUCCAGAGUCUGGCCAGAGGAAGUUGAUUGGUUAAAGCCCUAAAGUCUUCCUGACAUAAAACUUGAGAAGGAAAGCUUAUAUUCUCUCAAGUCUCUGCUGACUGUCCUUAUCCUGUGAAAUCAAAAUGAUGAGAGAUGGAAAGUAGUUUAAGAAAAAAGUACAACUGAAUUUGAGAAGCAGCAUAAGACUCAGGGCUUCUUUGCCUUUGAAAGACUAUGAACAAAUGGUUAGAGGAUCACAUGAUGAUAUUGAACAGUGCUGUUACUGUUUAGAGGUAGACUCUUCCAAAUGCUUCCACGUGUGCACCUAAUAUGAUCUGUCACAUCAACCUCAUCAGGUAGGCAGAGGAGAUUUUUUCUUCCCCAGAGAAGUAAGGUUGGAGUCAAAACUAGCAUUCAAAUAAGUAGCCACCAUGCGCUGAUGACAUAUCGGUCCUCAAAAUCACUGUGUGAAAUGGACAGUAUCAUUCCUGUUUAAUAAAUGAACUGAUGUAUGGAGAUACCAAGGAAUUUAAAUCACUUAAUAUUUAACAGAGUUAAGGAUAAAAAGAAAUCUAAGUAGGAUAAAAAAAAUUUAAGUAUCAUGACUUGUAACACUGUGUUAAGAAGAAUUCUUCAAUAAGAGUCAAAGGCAGAACUCUAGAAGUAGAGAAAUAAACUAUAUCCUUCCUUUUAUCUACAAAGGGGAAUACUUUUAACUGUACCCAGUUACUGAUUCAUUAAAUUGAGUCCUCCCUUGACUUUAAGGAAUAUAGGAACUAACACAUAUCAUGAGUUGAGUACAUGCCCAAUGUUUAUUAUCAGCAUUACCCUUCAACAUUGUACCCAUUUUACAAAGGAAAACACAAGGUUCAGAGAGAACUUUGCCCACGAUCUUCUUGCUGUGGGGCUGGACAAUGCCCACCACCUCACAAUGAAAAGCUUCUAUUGCAAGAACCCCAGAGCCAGAUCUUGUUUCCACCUGCCUUGUGUGAAUGUGCACGGAGGACUUGUCCUAAUUUCACACUCCAAACUGAGGUUUAGCCUAGAUCUUUUCUUUUCUUUUUUUUUGUCUUUUUCUAGGGCUGCACCCACAGCAUAUGGGGGUUCCCGGGCUAGGGGUCUAAUCAGAGCUGUAGCCGCCGGUCUAUGCCAGAGCCACGGCAAUGCGCGAUCUGAGCUUUGUCUGCAAACUACACCACAGCUGACAGCAAUGCUGGAUCCUCAACCCACUGAGCAAGGUCAGGGAUCGAACCUGCAACCUUAUGGUUCCUAGUCAGAUUUGUUAACCACUGAGCCACGAUGGGAACUCCAAGGCAACAUCUUAUACCUAACAUAGUUCCCAAAUAAUUAUUUACAGAUUUAGGAAAAUGUCAUGAAUUAGAGCCUAAAGAAAUUAACUGAAGGGAAUAUUGGAAGGAUAUCAGUGUUGGAGAAUAGAAGUUAUUUGACUACUAGGCCCCGAACCAGUUCCUAGGAGACUGAAGAAAAAGGGGAAACUAAAGCAGAAGGAAAGAAUCCUUGUUUCAUUUCCAGAAGUGAAUGUGAGAACAAUAAAAGCAACCGUGACCUGGGGCAUUCUUCUAGUUUCGGUCACCUUUUCCUUCCGAAAAGGAGAGGCCAGUGGCAUGGGCCUGUUAUGUGAUUACUAUUUAAUUUCUGACUUCUCUCUACCUACCUCAUCCAGUGAUGCUUUAUCACUUUCUAUUCCCCUGGGCAAGAGGAUCGACUAUUAGUCUGAGUUGUCUGUGGAGACCUAAGAGAAAAAACUAAUAUUCCAUGUACACAGACUUGUCAGACUGGGUUAGGAUUUACUUCUGAUAGACACGAAAGGAACAGGUGUUUCCACAUCAUUCAAAAUGUAAGAUGUGUGGCAUAUAAUGCUUCAUCUUUUUUAACUCUUUAUCUAAAAGAGAGAGAGGGAGAGCAGCAAAGGAAGAUAAAGAGAUUUAAAGAAGACUUAUGCAACUAAAGCAACAUUUUCCAGUAAGUUUUCAUAAAAAAGCUUUAUCAAAACCCUAACAUUAAGUAUACACUGCUUUGCUUUAUGCAAACAAUAUGAAUAUAUUAAUGAAGUCACAUUUAUCAUAUUAAACACUGGAUUAAACUCUCAAGUUUGUACUACUUUGACAACUCAAAAUAGCAUUUUCAGUCAUCCUUUUGUCUAAACACUGCAAUGUACUAAUGACAUCAAGAAGAAUAUUGUAAGAUACAACCAAUUUGCAACACUUUAUAUGCCAUAUAUCACAGAGCAGCUUUCAAUAUGCAAUUGAUAAAUGGUUAAUUGAAUAACAAAAUCUUUUAGACUUAAAACAUACAUGCUAAAUUUUUACUCUAGACAUUGACUAUGAAGAUACUCUCUUUCUCUCUUUCAAAUACUCCCUACUUAAAAAUACUCUCUCUGUUUCUGUUGUUAUAAACUGGUUCCUCUUUCAUCCUGAACACUGAACCAGGAGAUGAAGAAGCACGGUUGGUUUGCAGUGACUUUUCCAGGGCUCAAUCUCAAGCAGGACUUCUUCAAGUGUUUCCCUUUAAAGUGGAACUCACACAACAAUGAAUUUAAUAUUUACUUACUGGUCUUACCUACAAGAGUGGAAGUUUCUUCAAGGUAAAAAUAAUGUCAGAAUCAUUUUCAUAUUCCUAAAGCCUAUGACAGGGCCUAAUAUAUAAUAGGCAGGUAAGUCAUGACUUCUGGAUGAGUUGGACUUCUCUAAGUGUAAAUUUAGGCAAUGGAUUAGAUCCCAGAAGUCCUUUUUUAGGUAAAACAAAGACAAAAACAAAAAACAUGACUCUGUAACCAGUUUCAUUUUCAAAAUAGAGAAGGUAUACAUCAUCCUUAUGUUUCUUGGUACUUGCAUUAAUUUUGAAUUGUAAAGCACAAAUUUAGUAAAGCUGAUGAGGAAAAAAAAAGACAGCCAUGGCAAUCAGCUCUUUAUUAUUAGCAAACCAGAAAACGGUGUAAUUAAGGGAUAUGCCUGAAGGUAACAUUUUUCUGUAGACAUGUCAUCCCAAGAGAACACAAGCGAUUCUCAUUAGAAGUCAGAACUGGAAGAGAACACGGCAGUGCAAGAUACGGCAUAUGCAUUCCUUCAUUAAACAAGAGUUAUAUAUGGAUAUUAUUCAUCUGUGAACAAAGACAAAAAUAUCUGCCCUUGUGGAGAUCACAUUUUAGUGAAGGGAUAUAAAUAAAGAAGAAUAAGAAUAAACAUAUUAGGAAAGUCUCUGCACAUUAGAUGGAGAUUAACACCAUGGUAAAAGUAAAUAAAAAGCAGGCUGAGGCAUAUGGGAAGUCCUAAGAGUCAGUGUUAGAUAGAAUGGCCAGAAUGUGCCUCAAUGAGAAGGUACCAUUUGAACAAAGUCUUCAAAGGAAGGAAAGAUACUUGAGGAAGCUUUCCAAGCAAAAGUCACAGCAAAUGCAGAGAACCGAGGCAGGCAGUGUGCCCAGUGAAGACAACUGCAGGCUAAAGCAGAGUCAGCAAGAGGAGUACAAGUAGAAGAUAAAAGUCUAAAAGGUAAUAGAAUGCCAGAGGUCUUUAGCUUUUGACCUGAGAGAAAUGAAGAGCCAUUAGAUAGUUUUGAGCUGAAUGGUUUGAGAUUUAACAAAAUUACUCUGGCUUUUAUGUUGAGAAACGUAUAUAAAGAGGCAAAGCUAGAAGCAGGGAGACCAGUCAGAGGCUGCUAUAAUAAUGCAGGGGAGGACCAGGAGAAUAGCAGUAGGGAUAAUGAGACAUGGUUGGCUUUAGGAUAUGUUUUCACAGAAGAAUUAGAAGGAUUUGCUAAUGAAUUGAUGGAAGUCUGAGGGAAAAAGACAGUUCAAGAGUGAUUCUGAGAAUUUUCAUCUGGGGCAUUCAAGAAUGUAGUUGCCUCUAAAAGACAUGAAGUGGAUAGAAUGUAAAGCAGAUUUUUUUUUUCCUUUCCUAUCCUUUCUUUUAAAUUUCUUUUCCUGUACGUUUAGAAACUGAAAAGUUCACAUUUGUGUACAAUGAAUUUAGGAUGUCUACUGGAUAUUUUAAGUAGGCAACUGAAUUUAGAAAAUAUGGAAAUCAAGGGAUACUUUGAGUUAGAGAUAUAUAUUGAUAAGUCAUCAGCCUAUAGUUGGGAUUGCUCAAAAUCACAUGUGAUGUGCUCCCUGAGGAAACUGAUGUAGGUAAGAAGAGAAGGGAAGUG